UAUAAGAAAGUGUUUUCUGCACAUAGACCUUUGAACUCUAAAGCGGAAGUUAAUCCUUCCUCUUAUA
Molecule: transfer RNA, 67 nt
Filed under: Sternaspis scutata
Lineage: Eukaryota; Metazoa; Annelida; Polychaeta; Terebellida; Sternaspidae
Description: tRNA-Gln
Source: RNAcentral